CCCUUAACUAUUAAAAGUUUCUUUUUGGUCCUUUAACUUACUUUUUGGUUUCAUUUUGGUCCCUUAACUCUUCCUUCGUCAGCCUCUUUGGUCCUUUAUGUUAGGAUGAAUGUAUUAGAGUUAAGGGACCAAAAUGAAACAAAAAAAAUAAGUUAAGGGACCAAAACGAAACCAAAAAAUAAGUUAAGGGACCAAAACGAAACUUUUAAUAGUUAAGGGACCAAAAGAAAACCCAAAAAUAAGUUAUGGGACCGAAACGAAACUUUUAAUAGUUAAGGAA
RNAcentral lists this microRNA precursor (280 nucleotides) under Medicago truncatula (barrel medic). RNAcentral describes it as "MIR2655 microRNA precursor family". It matches the Rfam family "MIR2655 microRNA precursor family". Lineage: Eukaryota; Viridiplantae; Streptophyta; Magnoliopsida; Fabales; Fabaceae. The record is from Rfam by way of RNAcentral.